GGACCGCAGGCGGGGUAAAGCGGAGGGGGCGAGAGUUGUUCGGAAUUACGGGGCGUAAAGCGGAAGUAGGACGAUAUUUCAGUCAGGGGUGACAUCCCGGAGCUUAACCCCGGAACUGCCUUUGAUACUGGGUAGCCUGAGUAUGGAAGAGGUAAGUGGAAUUGCGAGUGUAGAGGUGAAAUUAGUAGAUAUUCGCAGGAACACCAGUGGCGAAGGCGGCUUACUGGUCCAUUACUGACGCUGAGGUGCGAAAGCGUGGGGAGCAAACAGGAUUAGAUACCCCGGUAGUCAGGGUACGUAG
This 301-nucleotide ribosomal RNA is filed under the name Rhizobium sp. Its description in RNAcentral is "bacterial SSU rRNA". It matches the Rfam family "Bacterial small subunit ribosomal RNA", at positions 506 to 806 of the family's 1533-position model. Lineage: Bacteria; Pseudomonadati; Pseudomonadota; Alphaproteobacteria; Hyphomicrobiales; Rhizobiaceae. The record is from RNAcentral.